CAGCCUAAAUGGCACUUUACACUGCAUACAUUCACAGCAGUAAAUGCCAUUCAGGUUGAC
This 60-nucleotide microRNA precursor is filed under the name Saccoglossus kowalevskii. RNAcentral's name for it is "Sko-Mir-4828-P3_pre stem-loop". Lineage: Eukaryota; Metazoa; Hemichordata; Enteropneusta; Harrimaniidae. The record is from RNAcentral.